RNAcentral lists this transfer RNA (67 nucleotides) under Marmota monax (woodchuck). RNAcentral's name for it is "tRNA.Thr". The record is from RNAcentral. Lineage: Eukaryota; Metazoa; Chordata; Mammalia; Rodentia; Sciuridae.
GGUUGUGGCUCAGUGGUAGAGCACUUGCCUAGUAAGUGCGAGGCACUGGGUUUGAUCCUCAGUGCCA